RNAcentral lists this ribosomal RNA (458 nucleotides) under uncultured bacterium. RNAcentral's name for it is "bacterial SSU rRNA". It matches the Rfam family "Bacterial small subunit ribosomal RNA", at positions 340 to 786 of the family's 1533-position model. The record is from RNAcentral.
UACGGAAGGCAGCAGUGGGGAAUAUUGCACAAUGGGCGCAAGCCUGAUGCAGCCAUGCCGCGUGUAUGAAGAAGGCCUUCGGGUUGUAAAGUACUUUCAGCGGGGAGGAAGGCGAUGCGGUUAAUAACCGCGUCGAUUGACGUUACCCGCAGAAGAAGCACCGGCUAACUCCGUGCCAGCAGCCGCGGUAAUACGGAGGGUGCAAGCGUUAAUCGGAAUUACUGGGCGUUAAAGCGCACGCAGGCGGUCUGUUAAGUCAGAUGUGAAAUCCCCGGGCUUAACCUGGGAACUGCAUUUUGAAACUGGCAGGCUUGAGUCUUGUAGAGGGGGUAGAAUUCCAGGUGUAGCGGUGAAAUGCGUAGAGAUCUGGAGGAAUACCGGUGGCGAAGGCGGCCCCUGGGACAAAGACUGACGCUCAGGGUGCGAAAGCGUGGGGAGCAAACGAGGAUUAGGAUACC